AUUGAACGCUGGCGGCAGGCCUAACACAUGCAAGUCGAGCGGAUGAAGGGAGCUUGCUCCUGGAUUCAGCGGCGGACGGGUGGGUAAUGCCUAGGAAUCUGCCUGGUAGUGGGGGAUAACGUCCGGAAACGGGCGCUAAUACCGCAUACGUCCUGAGGGAGAAAGUGGGGGAUCUUCGGACCUCACGCUAUCAGAUGAGCCUAGGUCGGAUUAGCUAGUUGGUGGGGUAAAGGCCUACCAAGGCGACGAUCCGUAACUGGUCUGAGAGGAUGAUCAGUCACACUGGAACUGAGACACGGUCCAGACUCCUACGGGAGGCAGCAGUGGGGUAUAUUGGACAAUGGGCGAAAGCCUGAUCCAGCCAUGCCGCGUGUGUGAAGAAGGUCUUCGGAUUGUAAGCACUUUAAGUUGGGAGGAAGGGCAGUAAGUUAAUACCUUGCUGUUUUGACGUUACCAACAGAAUAAGCACCGGCUAACUUCGUG
This 483-nucleotide ribosomal RNA is filed under the name uncultured bacterium. RNAcentral's name for it is "partial 16S ribosomal RNA". It matches the Rfam family "Bacterial small subunit ribosomal RNA", at positions 30 to 507 of the family's 1533-position model. The record is from RNAcentral.